GAUGAACGCUGGCGGCGUGCCUAAUACAUGCAAGUCGAGCGAACAGACGAGGAGCUUGCUCCUCUAACGUUAGCGGCGGACGGGUGAGUAACACGUGGAUAACCUACCUAUAAGACUGGGAUAACUUCGGGAAACCGGAGCUAAUACCGGAUAAUAUAUUGAACCGCAUGGUUCAAUAGUGAAAGACGGUUUUGCUGUCACUUAUAGAUGGAUCCGCGCCGCAUUAGCUAGUUGGUAAGGUAACGGCUUACCAAGGCAACGAUGCGUAGCCGACCUGAGAGGGUGAUCGGCCACACUGGAACUGAGACACGGUCCAGACUCCUACGGGAGGCAGCAGUGGGGAAUCUUCCGCAAAGGGCGAAAGCUUGACGGAGCAACGCCGCGUGAGUGAUGAAGGUCUUCGGAUCGUAAAACUCUGUUAUUAGGGAAGAACAAAUGUGUAAGUAACUAUGCACGUCUUGACGGUACCUAAUCAGAAAGCCACGGCUAACUACGUG
Molecule: ribosomal RNA, 497 nt
Filed under: uncultured bacterium
Lineage: Bacteria
Description: partial 16S ribosomal RNA
Rfam family: Bacterial small subunit ribosomal RNA
Source: RNAcentral